RNAcentral lists this ribosomal RNA (817 nucleotides) under uncultured archaeon. RNAcentral's name for it is "bacterial SSU rRNA". It matches the Rfam family "Archaeal small subunit ribosomal RNA", at positions 42 to 858 of the family's 1478-position model. The record is from RNAcentral.
GACUAAGCCAUGCAAGUCAAAUGUUCUUCGUGAACAUGGCGGACUGCUCAGUAACACGUGGAUAACCUGCCCUUAGGAUUGGCAUAACACCGGGAAACUGGUGAUAAUACCGAAUAGACCAUUUAUGCUGGAAUGCUUUUUGGUUCAAAGGCUUCGGCUGCCUAAGGAUGGAUCUGCGCCCUAUCAGGUAGUAGUGGGUGUAAUGUACCUACUAGCCUACGACGGGUACGGGUUGUGAGAGCAAGAGCCCGGAGAUGGAUUCUGAGACAUGAAUCCAGGCCCUACGGGGCGCAGCAGGCGCGAAAACUUUACAAUGCGGGAAACCGCGAUAAGGGGCCACUGAGUGCCAGCAUAUUAUGUUGGCUGUCCACAUGUAUAAAAACCAUGUGUUAGCAAGGGCCGGGCAAGACCGGUGCCAGCCGCCGCGGUAACACCGGCGGCCCGAGUGGUGAUCACUUUUAUUGGGUCUAAAGGGUCCGUAGCCGGUUUGAUCAGUCUUCUGGGAAAUCUGACAGCUCAACUGUUAGGCUUUCAGGGGAUACUGUUAGACUUGGGACCGGGAGAGGUAAGAGGUACUACAGGGGUAGGAGUGAAAUCUUGUAAUCCCUGUGGGACCACCAGUGGCGAAGGCGUCUUACCAGAACGGGUCCGACGGUGAGGGACGAAAGCUGGGGGCACGAACCGGAUUAGAUACCCGGGUAGUCCCAGCCGUAAACGAUGUUCGCUAGGUGUCAGGGACGGUGCGACCGUUUCUGGUGCCGCAGGGAAGAGCCUGAAGCGAACCACCUGGGAAGUACGGCCGCAAGGCUGAAACUUA